This 913-nucleotide long non-coding RNA is filed under the name Marmota monax (woodchuck). Lineage: Eukaryota; Metazoa; Chordata; Mammalia; Rodentia; Sciuridae. The record is from RNAcentral.
UUCAGGGUCCUCAUAUAAAGGAGUCGAUGUGUAUAAAGUGCUUCAACAACUUGGUGAUUUGUUGGUAGUCACUCUUAUCAGUUUAUAUACUGAGCACCCACUAUGUGCCUAUGCUGGGACAGAUACUGGGGCGACAGUGUCCCCUUCACAAACACAGCAUCACUUAAAAUCAUGAUGAAGACUACACAGAAGAAAUAUAGAAGCUAGGAGCACACAUAAUGGUCAUGUGACCUUGUAAGGACAAACAGGAAGAAGAUCAGUUUAAGAUAAAAUCUAAACAAUGAACCAGGGGGUCACCAGACAAGUGACAAGAGAGUGUUCCAAGUUUACAAAAACAAACCAAAGCAUGUACAAAUAUCCUGAGGUGGGAAGAAGCAUGACGAUUUUGCAGAACUGAAAGGGAGACCAGUGUAGACAGGGCAUAAUGUGGGGUGAAUGACCUUAGAGGGAAGGGCUUAUUUCCCAUUCCUGGCAUUUCCUGUCCUCUCUCUGUCCCUUGUCCCAGAGAAGACAAAUGAUUAUUCUGUCUAGUGAGUUUGGGAAAGGGGUUGAAGCUCAGCUACAGCCUUAGUCUCCCUCAGGGAUCUCUUGGCAGUUAAGGUUUGGCCCCUCUGGGGUGAAGACUGUAGUCCUGUGUCCCCUGGGGCUGGCUGUGUAGGCUGCUCAAUGCUGUGGAGUUAGGAAGCCCAGCGUCGACACAUAAGCCACCAUCCCUUACAGGACAUACCUGACCAUGCAGCUGGGGUUUUGAUCUUAAUCUUCUGGACUCCACAGAGUUUACAUUCAGGCAGGUAAGGAAAGGGAGUCACUUAUGGGGCCGCAUGGGAAGGGCCAGAUCUUGCAAGGUCUUCCCAGCCACGUGCUAGUCCUCCAUGUUUCCAGGGGCCAGAUUCGGGUGUUUUUUAGUUUGGAG